GUGCCAGCAGCCGCGGUAAUACGUAGGGUGCGAGCGUUGUCCGGAAUUACUGGGCGUAAAGAGCUCGUAGGUGGUUUGUCGCGUCGUUUGUGUAAGCCCGCAGCUUAACUGCGGGACUGCAGGCGAUACGGGCAUAACUUGAGUGCUGUAGGGGAGACUGGAAUUCCUGGUGUAGCGGUGGAAUGCGCAGAUAUCAGGAGGAACACCGAUGGCGAAGGCAGGUCUCUGGGCAGUAACUGACGCUGAGGAGCGAAAGCAUGGGUAGCGAACAGGAUUAGAUACCCUGGUAGUCCAUGCCGUAAACGGUGGGCGCUAGGUGUGAGGGUCUUUUCACGACUUUCGUGCCGUAGCUAACGCAUUAAGCGCCCCGCCUGGGGAGUACGGCCGCAAGGCUAAAACUCAAAGGAAUUGACGGGGGCCCGCACAAGCGGCGGAGCAUGUGGAUUAAUUCGAUGCAACGCGAAGAACCUUACCUGGGCUUGACAUACACCGGAUCGGGCUAGAGAUAGUCUUUCCCUUUGUGGCUGGUGUACAGGUGGUGCAUGGUUGUCGUCAGCUCGUGUCGUGAGAUGUUGGGUUAAGUCCCGCAACGAGCGCAACCCUUGUCUUAUGUUGCCAGCAUUUGGUUGGGGACUCAUGAGAGACUGCCGGGGUCAACUCGGAGGAAGGUGGGGAUGACGUCAAAUCAUCAUGCCCCUUAUGUCCAGGGCUUCACACAUGCUACAAUGGUCGGUACAACGCGCAGCGACACUGUGAGGUGGAGCGAAUCGCUGAAAGCCGGCCUUAGUUCGGAUUGGGGUCUGCAACUCGACCCCAUGAAGUCGGAGUCGCUAGUAAUCGCAGAUCAGCAAUGCUGCGGUGAAUACGUUCCCGGGCCUUGUACACACCGCCCGUCACGUCAUGAAAGUUGGUAACACCCGAAGCCGGUGGCCCAAACUUGUUAGGGAGCCGUCGAAGGUGGGAUCGGCGAUUGGGACGAAGUCGUAACAAGGUA
RNAcentral lists this ribosomal RNA (994 nucleotides) under uncultured Corynebacterium sp. Its description in RNAcentral is "bacterial SSU rRNA". It matches the Rfam family "Bacterial small subunit ribosomal RNA", at positions 505 to 1498 of the family's 1533-position model. The record is from RNAcentral. Lineage: Bacteria; Bacillati; Actinomycetota; Actinomycetes; Mycobacteriales; Corynebacteriaceae.